This 305-nucleotide ribosomal RNA is filed under the name uncultured bacterium. Its description in RNAcentral is "bacterial SSU rRNA". It matches the Rfam family "Bacterial small subunit ribosomal RNA", at positions 334 to 656 of the family's 1533-position model. The record is from RNAcentral.
UGUUCCUACGGGAGGCAGCAGUGGGGAAUAUUGCACAAUGGGGGAAACCCUGAUGCAGCGAUGCCGCGUGGAGGAAGAAGGUUUUCGGAUUGUAAACUCCUUUUAUCAGGGACGAUAAUGACGGUACCUGAAGAAAAAGCUCCGGCUAACUACGUGCCAGCAGCCGCGGUAAUACGUAGGGAGCAAGCGUUGUCCGGAAUUACUGGGCGUAAAGGGCGCGUAGGUGGGCGCUUAAGUCAGGUGUGAAAACUCCGGGCUCAACCUGGAGACUGCACUUGAAACUGGGUGUCUUGAGGGCAGGAGAG